Molecule: non-coding RNA, 146 nt
Filed under: Pseudomonas caspiana
Lineage: Bacteria; Pseudomonadati; Pseudomonadota; Gammaproteobacteria; Pseudomonadales; Pseudomonadaceae
Description: FMN sequence
Rfam family: FMN riboswitch aptamer (RFN element)
About the family: The RFN element is a highly conserved domain that is found frequently in the 5'-untranslated regions of prokaryotic mRNAs that encode for flavin mononucleotide (FMN) biosynthesis and transport proteins.
Source: RNAcentral
CAACGUUCUCAGGGCGGGGUGCAAUUCCCCACCGGCGGUAAUGACGCGCAAUGCGUUUAGCCCGCGAGCGCCUGCAAACGCAGGGUCAGCAGACCUGGUGAGAUUCCAGGGCCGACGGUCAUAGUCCGGAUGAAGAGAGAACGGGA